ACCCACAUCUUUUUGUUCACGACUCCCUUCCUCCAUCUUCAAAACCUGCAAAGCAGCAUCUUCAAACCUCUCUCUCUCUCCCUCUGCGUCCUUCUGUCAGACUCUGACCCUCUGCAUCCCUCUUAGAAGGGCCUUGUGAUGACAUCAGUCCCACCAGGAUAACCCAGGAUAAUCUCUCCAUCUCAAGAUCCUUACCUCGAUCACAUCUGCGAAGUCCCAUCUGCCUUAUAAGGAAGAUUAGCCCUGAGCUACCUGCUGCCAAUCCUCUUUUUGCUGAGGAAGACUGGCCCUGAGCUAACAUCCGUGUGCAUCCUCCUCUACUUUAUACGAGGGAUGUCUGCUACAGCAUGGCUUGCCAAGCGGUGCCAUGUCCACAUCCAGGAUCCAAGCCAGUGAACCCCGGGCCGCCGAAGCGGAACAUGCGCACCUAACUGCUGAGCCACCGGGCUGGCCCUUACUGGGGAUUUUUAAAACUUAAAUUCCGUGUUCUCAUUUUAAUUAGACAGUCAGUAACUCUGUGAGGUCAAGAAAACCUUUCUUCCACUGUCCUACUCUGAUGUGGUCAACACUGGAGACUUAGAAACCAGUCUCCUCUGCCUCCCACAGUUACCAGCAUGGAAAUAUGACCACAAUAAAUCGGCAAGAGGGAAUAAAAAGUGAUUCACCAAUCAUUACAUACAAUAUAAUCACACUUUUAUAAAAGGAUAAAAAAGUUUAUCCCCAUGUGUAUAGAAAAAUGUCCAGAAAAGCACGCAUUAAAGGGUCAAGAGGGUUGUUCUGAGUGGUGGGUGUAGACUUCCAUUUACCUUGCCACUAUUUUACUAAAAUGUAUUAAAUUCUCACCCUAAAUCUGAGACACUCUGCUAGACACCCACACUUUUCGGUUUUAUCUAGUAAUUUGCUCUAUGCGUCUUUCCUUACGAUUAGCUUGUAUUUUUUUAAUCAGAGCAGGAAAAGGGGGAGCUGUCUCUUCAUUGACAAAUGAAGUACUUAGCACAUAGUACUUAGAACCUGGUGGGUGCUAGGUAAUGGUGGCCAUUACUUUACCAUUCUGUGAAUCUUGGGUCUUCAUCUGCCGUAACUUCUUGAGCAACCAUUGUGACAACAGCAGCAAUGACAGCAAGUAUUUAUAUAGAGUGUUGAUUACGUGCCACGCUGUUCUGAUAUCCAUCGCAUGUGGGCCUCACGAGAGCUAUGAGGUGACUAUUAUUCCCAUUUUACACAUCAGAAAAUGGAGGCAGAAGUACAGUGGCUGCACCAUGGGCCGCCUCCCUCCACCCCCAGCCCAGCCUGGGACUCAGAGCAAUUUUCUUCACCUUCUCUACCCCAGCACCUGCUCUGAUGGGAACAACAGAAAUAGAUGCACAUACACGCACAUGCACACACACACACCCAGAAAUGGAUGGGGUGGGGCUGGCCUGGGUUGUUGUUGGUGACUCAGUCGGUCAGAGGAAAAGGCAGCGUAAUGCAGACAAAUACAAGAUAAUAAGUCUGGAGCCAAUGAACCGAAAGAUAGGGAGAGCACAUCUUAAUAAAGAGUCACGAGUCCCUCCAGCCUGGAAAGGGAUUUAGAGGUUACUGUGGAAAAAAAAAAUUUUUUUGAAGUCGUCAGCACCUUGUACUGCCAGAGUAAACUUGGGAAUCCGGGGGUCCCUGUGUCCACCCUGUGCUCUCCUCUCCCACGGAGGGAAGCCAGCAGUGGGUGGGUCUGGUCCUUCCGUCCUGUUGGGGCCUGGCCGGGAGCAGGGGGGGUCCUUUUUCUGCUGUGGGCGAAUGCUGAUACUGUGUGCAAAGCGGGCUGCUGAGUUUGAAUGAUGGGAUCGUGUACGUGGGCACAGUCACAAGGGCUGGGGUGCGGGAAAAGACGAGCUGCGGGCUCUCAGAGUAAGGGGGCUCAUGGUGGCUGGAGAACCUGGGAAGGAAGGUGAAACGGGAGUGACUUGCAGAUGGUUGGGGUGAAUGGAUGCGUCUCAAGGGCUAAGACUGGAAGGACUCAGACAAACAGGACAGCUGACAGCCAGAGGGAAGUCUACCAAGGCAGCAGUGUGUAUUUCCAUGCUUCGUUCCCAAGACGCACGAUGCUUUAAGUAGCCAUGUUGAGACAACCUGAGGUCUGGGGGAAAGUAGACUCUGACGCCAAACACACCAGCUUUGGGUCGUAUCCUUCCCGCUGAAUUCCUGAGUCAAUGGAAUUGAUGCCUUGCUGCUCAGAGCCUCAGUCCCCUCAUCUCUAAAAAGGGGACCAGAUUGGUGGCUGAGAGGAGAUGAUGUGUCUGCUCGAGCCAAGCCUUCCACUGGCCCCGCUGGACUUCAGACGCAUGCAGCCAUGCCUGCUGAACUGGUGGGGAGGGCGGGUGGAAGAUGACUCAGGGGCAGGAUGGUGUAGAAAAGCUUCCCAGGAGGCAGGGCAAAAAGGGUCAGCUGCAGCAAAUAAUCCAGGGACAGCGGCUCUGUGCUUGGGGGCAGUAGAGAACUGAGCACAGUGUGAUGCUCGUGGCUGAAACCACACCAGCGGGCAUUUCUGAGCCCAAAGAGCAGACCGAGAUAAUAUCAACAGCAAUAACAACAGUUAGUUCACUCUUCACACUUUAAAGGUGGAUAUUAUUAUCCUCAUUUUACAGAUGAGGAAACUGAGGCACAGAGAGGUUAAGUAAUUUACGUCAGGUCACCCACCCAGUAAGUGGCAGAGCUGGGAUUCAAACCGAGGUCCCCUGGCUAAAUUGCACAUGCUCUUAACCACUGCACAUAUAUGGCUCCACUGUUAGAAAUAAAACCUCGGUAUCAAAAUGAGACUGAGAAGCAAGAACAACUCUCUCCUAGACCACGAGCUAGCUUUGGCAUCUAAAGGCUUAGGAGGGCAACCAUCAGAGGGACUCUUUGGGGCCCAAAGGGGAGGCAGAGCCACCAGGGGAGGAGAACCCUACGGCAGGAAGGACUGGUGCCCAGCAGAGCAGCAGCGGCACGCAUGAAAACUAAAGGAGGGAGUGCAUCCUCGAGGAAUCUUCAGAGACCACGGGGCGUCAGAGCUGCCUGAGGAGAAAUUUGCAUGAGGCCAAGACUGCCCAGGUAAGCACGUGGGGCCGGGGGUGCUGGGGUAUUUGGAUCGUCCAGACUGGCCAGCUUGCAAGAAACUGUAACUAUUUCCGUCUUUUUUGUGCCUUGUUACAGAGGGGCAAGAUGCAAUCUUCUUGGAGAGGGAACAGGGCUGGGGAAGUCCAUUUGCCUCUGAUUUCAAGAAUGCUUCUCUAAGGGAAAGGAGGGUUCAGGAUGCUUCGAGCAGGGGAGAGAUUUCAAGAUGCUCCACGACAGACCUAGGUCCUGAUGGUCUUCGUCAGCAUCCCCAUUUUACAGAUGAGGCAACUGAGGCCUGGAAAAAAUGGAGGUGACAGAACCCCCCUCAGAGGGCUUGGUGAGGACCCGCUGGGAUGAGGCAGGAGAACCUCCGUGCCCGCUGCUGCCUCAGUGAAGUACACACUUGCUACUGUUGUUCACGCUGACGAUCGCCUCCUGGGCAGUGGUGGUGCAGAGAAGAACCAGAGCAGCUGGCAACUCUUCCUCUUGGGGAAAGGAAGGAAGGAGAGGAGGGAGGGACAGAUGAAAACAUCCUGGUUUCCCCUGGACUGAGGGGUUUCCUCGUAUAUGUGACUUUCAGUGGUAAAACCAGGAACGUCCCAGGCAAAUGGGGCUGAUUAGUCACCCUAAAGAAAGGUCUAAUGGAGCACUAUUUAAUUCUUCAAAGAAAAAAUUAAUCAAAAAGAAAACAAAGAAAUAGAUUCAUGCUGCAGCAAGACUGACGGAGGUUAGAUCUCACACAGGACUUCCUGGCUGCUAAACAAAAGGCAAAGUUUGGGCAGGUCCUUUAGUGACACAGAAGGAAGCUCAGAGCCCAGGAGGGAGCCAGGAGCAAUUCUGAGCAUCCCUCUUGGGCUGCUGGUUGCUCCCUGUGACAGAUUCGGCUCGGUCUCUCCUCACCUGUAACCAUCAUUCGUGACAGAGCCAGCAGCACGUUUCCAAAUUCCAGCCAUCAGAGGCGUAUGGAGGAUGCUCAGCCCCAUUCUGACCGAGCAGUCGAGGGGAAGGCCUCUGCUUGGUGGCACCCAGCCUAAUCUCAGAGACAGUGUUCUGAUAGAGAGACUCAUGAUGGCCAUCUGGGCCGCAGACACAGGGCCUUAACUUCCAAUUCUGAGAGGCCUGGGGCAUGCGCCUCUUCCCUGCCAAAUCGUGCUAGGUCUUCCAUCCGGCAGAUUUACAGCAUAUUAACUGCAAAUGAAUGUCACGGCACAUCUCUGUGCUUCAGAGGAAACGAAGGCAGUUCUGAAGAGGAGGCUGCAGGACUCAGGCGGUCCUGGACCGUUUGCUAACCUGCUGAGACACACAGGGUGGGGCGGGGGCAAGGACGACCCUGCAGCCACUGUCUACAGAAGGUGCUGAAACGUGCAGGGCUCCCUGGAUGAGUCGGGUUUCUCCAGAGAAACACAACCAACAGAAGGAGAUUCAUUCUAAGGAACUGGUUCAUGCAGUUGCAGAGACUGAGAAAUCCCAGGAUCUGCCAUCUACAAGCUGGAGACCAGGAGAGCUGGUGGUACAGCCCUAGUCCCAGUCUGAAAACUGGACAGCCAGGGGACCGGAUGGUCCCCAGGUUUGGCACACGGUGUGUGAAUGCAUAGAUGAAGCUGGCCCAAGAACGAAGAAGGUGAUGCUGGCCAGGGAAGAUGCUGAGUUCUAGAGUCCUGCCGUGGAAAGUCUACAACGGCCUCGUUCCAAAAAGAAGGAUGUAUGAAUGUGUGGUAAAACCAUAGGGAAAAUCAAGGAAAUCAUUACCACAGAUGUCAGCAUCAUGGUUACCUCAGAAAGAGGAGGAAAAUACACUUAUGAGAGACACCAGGAGACUUCUAAGUGGAAUGCCAUCAGAGACGAUCUGGUCCAAGACAUGAUUUUACAGAUGGGGACACCAAGGACCAGAAAGGUGAAGCGAGUAACCCAGACCCUCCAAUGUGUCAGCUAUUAUUCACCAGCAUCUCAUGGUUGGGGAAGCAGCUUCAUCCAGCUCUUCACUAGUGGGACUGACUCACUGAGUCUCUCUUCCGGAGCCUAGGUGGCCAGGUGUAGGGAUUGCGAAAGAGCCUAGGCCAGUAGGACAAAAGUGAUGUCAUCCUUCUUCCCAGCCCAUCCUCUGCUGCCUGCAACCUUAGGUUAAAACACCUGUCUUAUUUAUGCAUGAUGUUAGCCUGUGACACCUUAAGAAACCUGACAGCAACCAGAACUCUCAAGAGCUGCUGGUGGGGGUACAAACUGGUACAGCUUCUUUGGAAAAAAGCCAGGCCGUAUCUCCUAAGGCUAAACAUUCACCUACUCUAUGACCCAGCAAUUCCACUCCUAGGUGUAGGUCCAAGAGAAAGGAGUGUUUAUGUCCAAGAAG
Molecule: long non-coding RNA, 5419 nt
Organism: Equus caballus (horse)
Lineage: Eukaryota; Metazoa; Chordata; Mammalia; Perissodactyla; Equidae
Source: Ensembl